This 492-nucleotide ribosomal RNA is filed under the name uncultured bacterium. Its description in RNAcentral is "partial 16S ribosomal RNA". It matches the Rfam family "Bacterial small subunit ribosomal RNA", at positions 29 to 507 of the family's 1533-position model. The record is from RNAcentral.
AGUGAACGCUGGCGGUAGGCCUAACACAUGCAAGUCGAACGGCAGCACAGUAAGAGCUUGCUCUUACGGGUGGCGAGUGGCGGACGGGUGAGGAAUACAUCGGAAUCUACUUUUUCGUGGGGGAUAACGUAGGGAAACUUACGCUAAUACCGCAUACGACCUACGGGUGAGAGCAGGGGAUCUUCGGACCUUGCGCGAUUGAAUGAGCCGAUGUCGGAUUAGCUAGUUGGCGGGGUAAAGGCCCACCAAGGCGACGAUCCGUAGCUGGUCUGAGAGGAUGAUCAGCCACACUGGAACUGAGACACGGUCCAGACUCCUACGGGAGGCAGCAGUGGGGAAUAUUGGACAAUGGGCGCAAGCCUGAUCCAGCCAUACCGCGUAGGUGAAGUAGGCCUUCGGGUUGUAAAGCCCUUUUGUUGGGAAAGAAAAGCAGCAGGUUAAUACCCCGCUGUUCUGACGGUACCCAAAGAAUAAGCACCGGCUAACUUCGUG